RNAcentral lists this long non-coding RNA (402 nucleotides) under Cricetulus griseus (Chinese hamster). RNAcentral describes it as "lncRNA (ENSCGRG00015043382.1)". Lineage: Eukaryota; Metazoa; Chordata; Mammalia; Rodentia; Cricetidae. The record is from RNAcentral.
CUCUCCUACAUGCUCUCGAUAACAGAAAGUGACAAUAUUCCUGGAACUUCCACCAAUCUCAUGGGCAUGAAACAACAUCUUACUCCUCUGGAUUCUCAGUCUCUGUUGGAGGCCUUGCUAAGCAGCCUUGAGAGUGGGAGCUUGUCCUUGUACAGUGCUGACCCAUCUUCACAGAGGAGAACAAGAGAAGAGCUAGGAGCUGGCAGAGGAGCCAGGGAGCAGCAGAUCCUGGUGCUCCGUACCCAAGGCCAUCCCCAAGGGAGGGUUACCCACGACCACAGGGAUUCAUUGCUCCUCUCCCCAACUCCAGUGAGGGACCUAGCAAAUAGCCCAAUGAAGGCCUUUCUCUCUGGCACCAUGGGUCAUGUCAAUCAAGUGUGUGAGAAAAAUAAUAAGUCUCCA